RNAcentral lists this unclassified non-coding RNA (334 nucleotides) under soil metagenome. RNAcentral describes it as "partial contains 5.8S ribosomal RNA, internal transcribed spacer 2, and large subunit ribosomal RNA". The stretch from base 1 to 120 matches the Rfam family "5.8S ribosomal RNA", at positions 35 to 154 of the family's 154-position model. The record is from RNAcentral.
GAUGAAGAACGUAGCGAAAUGCGAUAAGUAAUGUGAAUUGCAGAAUUCAGUGAAUCAUCGAAUCUUUGAACGCACAUUGCGCCAGCCAGUACUCUGGCGGGCAUGCCUGUUCGAGCGUCAUUUCAACCAUCAAGCCCCAGGCUUGCGUUGGAGCCCUGCGGCUGCCGCAGCCUCCCAAAACCAGUGGCGGGCUCGCUAUCACACCGAGUGCAGUAGUUUACUCUUCGCUCAGGGCGUGUGGCGGGUGCUAGCCGUAAAACCCCCAACUUCUCAAGGUUGACCUCGGAUCAGGUAGGAAUACCCGCUGAACUUAAGCAUAUCAAUAAGCGGAGGA